RNAcentral lists this transfer RNA (89 nucleotides) under Danio rerio (zebrafish). It matches the Rfam family "tRNA". Rfam says of the family: Transfer RNA (tRNA) molecules are approximately 80 nucleotides in length. Lineage: Eukaryota; Metazoa; Chordata; Actinopteri; Cypriniformes; Danionidae. The record is from Rfam by way of RNAcentral.
GGCUCUGUGGUGCAAUGGAUAGCGCAUUGGACUUUGAGGCUGUGAGCUGAGCCAUUCAAUGGUUGUGUGCUUGAAUCCCACCAGGGUCG